GCAACGGUGGUCUAGCGGUCAGAACGCUGGGCUUCUGAUCCUGGGGUCCCGGGAUCGAUUCCCGGUGGUGCC
RNAcentral lists this transfer RNA (72 nucleotides) under Zootermopsis nevadensis. It matches the Rfam family "tRNA". From Rfam's summary of the family: Transfer RNA (tRNA) molecules are approximately 80 nucleotides in length. Their secondary structure includes four short double-helical elements and three loops (D, anti-codon, and T loops). The record is from Rfam by way of RNAcentral. Lineage: Eukaryota; Metazoa; Arthropoda; Insecta; Blattodea; Termopsidae.